Molecule: long non-coding RNA, 411 nt
Filed under: Mytilus galloprovincialis (Mediterranean mussel)
Lineage: Eukaryota; Metazoa; Mollusca; Bivalvia; Mytilida; Mytilidae
Source: RNAcentral
UAUACCACUGUCCCAGGUUAGGGGAGGGUUGGGAUCCCGCUAACAUGUUUAACCCCGCCACAUUAUUUAUGUAUGUGCCUGUCCCAAGUCAGGAGCCUGUAAUUCAGUGGUUGUCGUUUGUUUAUGUGUUACAUAUUUGUUUUUCGUUCAUUUUUUUUUUACAUAAAUAAGGCCGUUAGUUUUCUCGUUUGAAUUGUUUUACAUUGUCUUAUCGGGGCCUUUUAUAGCUGACUAUGCGGUAUGGGCUUUGUUCAUUGUUGAAGGCCGUACGGUGACCUAUAGUUGUUAAUGUCUGUGUCAUUUUGGUCUUUUGUGGAUAGUUGUCUCAUUGGCAAUCAUACCACAUCUUCUUUUUUAUAUUAGAUUAAAAUACAUGUAGUUAGCGUCAAUAACAUUGAAACCUGGCUGUGA